AGAGGUGCUAAUACCGGAUAARCCCACGGGGUCUUUGGACUCURCGGGAAAAGGGGGGGACCUUUUGGCCUUCUGUCGUCAGAUGAGUMUGCGUACCAUUAGCUAGUUGGUAGGGUAAUGGCCUACCAAGGCUACGAUGGUUAGCUGGUCUGAGAGGAUGAUCAGCCACMCUGGAACUGAGACACGGUCCAGACUCCUACGGGAGGCAGCAGUGGGGAAUUUUGCGCAAUGGGCGAAAGCCUGACGCAGCAACGCCGCGUGAGUGAUGAAGGCUUUCGGGUCGUAAAGCUCUGUCRGRGGGRAAGAAACCYMYUGGGRAUAAUACUUCCWKGGCYUGACGGUACCCUCAAAGGAAGCACCGGCUAACUCCGUGCCAGCAGCCGCGGUAAUAC
RNAcentral lists this ribosomal RNA (392 nucleotides) under uncultured Geobacteraceae bacterium. RNAcentral describes it as "partial 16S ribosomal RNA". It matches the Rfam family "Bacterial small subunit ribosomal RNA", at positions 156 to 526 of the family's 1533-position model. Lineage: Bacteria; Pseudomonadati; Thermodesulfobacteriota; Desulfuromonadia; Geobacterales; Geobacteraceae. The record is from RNAcentral.